UCGGAAGCGACGAGUCGCUCGUCUGACAAGGAAUUUCCAGCGAAUUUCAUAGUAUCCCAAUAUGAUACAGUCUUUGAUUCGUCGUGAAAUCAUAUCAAUAUAACCACAAAUAUUAAAACUGCAUCGUACUGUGCGUACAAUUUAUCAUGAAUACCAAAAAUAAUAAUAUUUAAAAUAUAUAUGGAAAGCACCCCUCUCAUAACCGAGACAACAUUACAAGCGGGACGCGCUAUGGUUGUUAUUUACAUUUUUGUCGAUUUAUUUUGAUUUUCGUUUUUAGAUUUUUCAGCCUAUAUAGUAUACCCUUGUUGUCUACUCUGAUUUGACAAAUAACAAAACAGUUUAUAGUGAAAAUGGAACGGAAGCACGUACGAAGAUGAAGAGCAUUUGGAUGCUUGGGAGGAGGAGGAAGACAGGGAGAAUUUGUAUUCAUCUUCAAAACCGGGCUUUCCUAUACGGAUUCCAGACUUGAACAAAAUUUCAAGCAUUUUAGCCGCAAAUGAGUUUGCAGAUGUGGACGCUGACGACUCGGAAAUACAAGACGCUUCCAUCAAGCUAGGUACCAAAAACCGUUCUAGGUGCAAAGAACCGAUUCAAAAAACUAAAAACCGUUGCAGCCAUCAUGCCAACACACAAUUUCACCCACCGUAGAUAAAAAUACAGCUAACGACAUCUAACCGCCACUGGAAAAGUAGCAAAUGUUAGAACCACAAACAGACGUCACUUGUACACUAGCGCCGCGUGGUAAUCUUUUUGCUAAAAUAUACUUUCUGACGUAGAACUACGUCUCUCAGGAAGUUCGGCUACAUAGGAAUAAAAAAAAAUUAAAACCAAAAAAAGUUUUAAAUAACAAAUCAGUUAGUUUUCGUUGC
Molecule: long non-coding RNA, 872 nt
Organism: Wyeomyia smithii (pitcher-plant mosquito)
Lineage: Eukaryota; Metazoa; Arthropoda; Insecta; Diptera; Culicidae
Exons: 3
Source: RefSeq, a predicted model, not a curated record